GACGAACCGAGCGAACGUUGUUCGGAAUCACUGGGCUUAAAGGGCGCGUAGGCGGGCUGCCGCGUCCGGGGUGAAAUCCUCCGGCUCAACCGGGGAACGGCCUCGGAUACGGGCGGCCUCGAGGGGGGUAGGGGCAUCUGGAACUGUGGGUGGAGCGGUGAAAUGCGUAGAGAUCCGGAGGAACACCGACGGCGCAGGCAGCGUCCUGGCCGCUUGCUGACACUGAGGCACGAAAGCUGGGGGAGCAAACAGG
This 253-nucleotide ribosomal RNA is filed under the name uncultured bacterium. RNAcentral describes it as "partial 16S ribosomal RNA". It matches the Rfam family "Bacterial small subunit ribosomal RNA", at positions 524 to 776 of the family's 1533-position model. The record is from RNAcentral.